RNAcentral lists this ribosomal RNA (531 nucleotides) under uncultured Actinomycetes bacterium. RNAcentral's name for it is "bacterial SSU rRNA". It matches the Rfam family "Bacterial small subunit ribosomal RNA", at positions 355 to 896 of the family's 1533-position model. Lineage: Bacteria; Bacillati; Actinomycetota; Actinomycetes. The record is from RNAcentral.
UGGGGAAUAUUGCACAAUGGGCGGAAGCCUGAUGCAGCAACGCCGCGUGCGGGAUGACGGCCUUCGGGUUGUAAACCGCUUUCGCCUGUGACGAAGCGUGAGUGACGGUAAUGGGUAAAGAAGCACCGGCUAACUACGUGCCAGCAGCCGCGGUGAUACGUAGGGUGCGAGCGUUGUCCGGAUUUAUUGGGCGUAAAGGGCUCGUAGGUGGUUGAUCGCGUCGGAAGUGUAAUCUUGGGGCUUAACCCUGAGCGUGCUUUCGAUACGGGUUGACUUGAGGAAGGUAGGGGAGAAUGGAAUUCCUGGUGGAGCGGUGGAAUGCGCAGAUAUCAGGAGGAACACCAGUGGCGAAGGCGGUUCUCUGGGCCUUUCCUGACGCUGAGGAGCGAAAGCGUGGGGAGCGAACAGGCUUAGAUACCCUGGUAGUCCACGCUGUAAACGGUGGGUACUAGGUGUGGGGUCCAUUCCACGGGUUCCGCGCCGUAGCUAACGCUUUAAGUACCCCGCCUGGGGAGUACGGCCGCAAGGCUA